RNAcentral lists this ribosomal RNA (484 nucleotides) under uncultured bacterium. Its description in RNAcentral is "partial 16S ribosomal RNA". It matches the Rfam family "Bacterial small subunit ribosomal RNA", at positions 30 to 507 of the family's 1533-position model. The record is from RNAcentral.
AUUGAACGCUGGCGGCAGGCCUAACACAUGCAAGUCGAGCGGAUGAAGGGAGCUUGCUCCUGGAUUCAGCGGCGGACGGGUGAGUAAUGCCUAGGAAUCUGCCUGGUAGUUGGGGAUAACGUCCGGAAACGGGCGCUAAUACCGCAUACGUCCUGAGGUAGAAAGUGGGGGAUCUUCGGACCUCACGCUAUCAGAUGAGCCUAGGUCGGAUUAGCUAGUUGGUGGGGUAAAGGCCUACCAAGGCGACGAUCCAUAACUGGUCUGAGAGGAUGAUCAGUCACACUGGAACUGAGACACGGUCCAGACUCCUACGGGAGGCAGCAGUGGGGAAUAUUGGACAAAGGGCGAAAGCCUGAUCCAGCCAUGCCGCGUGUGUGAAGAAGGUCUUCGGAUUGUAAAGCACUUUAAGUUGGGAGGAAGGGCAGUAAGUUAAUACCUUGCUGUCUUGACGUUACCAACAGAAUAAGCACCGGCUAACUUCGUG